This 468-nucleotide ribosomal RNA is filed under the name uncultured bacterium. RNAcentral's name for it is "partial 16S ribosomal RNA". It matches the Rfam family "Bacterial small subunit ribosomal RNA", at positions 28 to 507 of the family's 1533-position model. The record is from RNAcentral.
GACGAACGCUGGCGGCGUGCUUAACACAUGCAAGUCGAACGGAAAGGCCCUGCUCUUGUUGGGUGGUCGAGUGGCGAACGGGUGAGUAACACGCGAGUAACCUGCACUUGAAUUUGGGAUAACUUCAGGAAACUGGGGCUAUUACCGGAUAGGAGCUCCUGCUGCAUGGGGGGGGUUGGAAAGUUUCGGCGGUUGGGGAUGGUCUGGCGGCUUAUCAGCUUGUUGGUGGGGUAGGGGCUGACAAAGGCUGCGACGGGUAGCCGGCCUGAGAGGGUAGCCGGCGACCAGGGGCCUACGGGAGGCACCAGAAGGGUAUGGGACGCAGUGGGCGGGAGUCUGGCACAACGGCGGGAAGCGAGAGAUAGCAGUGCCCGGUGCGUGAUGAAGGCUUUCUGGUGAAAAACCGCUUUCGCCGGUGACGAGGCGAGAGUGACGGUAAUGGGUAAGGAAGCACCGGCUAACUACGUG